Molecule: non-coding RNA, 249 nt
Organism: Cucurbita pepo subsp. pepo (vegetable marrow)
Lineage: Eukaryota; Viridiplantae; Streptophyta; Magnoliopsida; Cucurbitales; Cucurbitaceae
Source: RefSeq, a predicted model, not a curated record
AAUGAACUGCACUCGUUCGUAGGAACUAUACAUAAGUGAGGCGAUCGGUUCCCCCCUGCUUCCAUCUGCUGUGUUGCCUUCAUAUGCAGUCACACUUGCUGAAGAAAGUUUCCACAACGUAGCCGGGAUUUCGUUUUCGAUUAUCUUGGCCAGACCGGUACCGGUGUUCAAUUCAGAUUCUAUAACUGCUUUAUAUGAAGGUAACGAGAAAUCAGCCCGAGCACUUGAAGUUUACUUGUUAUCAAGAGA